This 274-nucleotide ribosomal RNA is filed under the name uncultured bacterium. RNAcentral's name for it is "partial 16S ribosomal RNA". It matches the Rfam family "Bacterial small subunit ribosomal RNA", at positions 523 to 796 of the family's 1533-position model. The record is from RNAcentral.
AUACGGAGGGUGCGAGCGUUACUCGGAGUCACUGGGCGUAAAGCGUCCGUAGGCGGUCGGGUAAGUCGGGUGUGAAAGCCCCGGGCUCAACCUGGGAAGUGCACCCGAUACUGCUCGACUCGAGUGCGGGAGAGGAUGGCGGAAUUCCCGGUGUAGCGGUGAAAUGCGUAGAGAUCGGGAGGAACACCAGUGGCGAAGGCGGCCAUCUGGCCCGCAACUGACGCUGAGGGACGAAAGCGAGGGGAGCAAACAGGAUUAGAAACCCUAGUAGUCC